Heterocephalus glaber (naked mole-rat) is the source of this 364-nucleotide long non-coding RNA. The record is from Ensembl. NCBI's taxonomy places the organism in Eukaryota, Metazoa, Chordata, Mammalia, Rodentia, Bathyergidae.
GAUAAAACUAAGAAGUGAUACAGAUAGAUAAAAGUCUGACUUGCCUACUAACCUUUGUUUUAUCUAUACUUAUACAUAAACAAUUGUUAUUGGUUUUAGGGAUAUUCUUCCACUGCUGUCUUUUUCUUCUUUUUUCUCAGGUUUGUUUGCUUGUUUUGAGACAUGGUCUCCUUAUGCAGUUCAGGCUGUCUUUGAACUCAUUGUAUAGCCCAGGCUGGCCUCAGACUUGCAGCAGUCUUCCUGCCUCAGCCUCCCAAGUGCUGGGAUUACAGAAAAUGGCCUGCAUUUAAAGACUGGCCCUCAGACCUUCCAUUAGGAUGUGAUUCCCUCAUGAACAUUUUUAGCUGUCAGUGGGAUUUGGGGA